Molecule: unclassified non-coding RNA, 245 nt
Filed under: uncultured fungus
Lineage: Eukaryota; Fungi
Description: sequence contains ITS1
Source: RNAcentral
GUUUCAAAUUUAGGCGACUCGGAGGACGCUGUACAUUCAAAUGGUUUGCGUGUUUUGUGGAAGCGGCUUCCGGGUCCUCCGCGAGGGAGUCCCCUUCCGCCGUCAAUGUGCACGGUGGGGUUUGUGAAGGUUUGACGGGGCAGGCUCGCCCGCUGCACGACGCCUUUUGAGGGGAGUCGGAGCAGGGCGCGAAAGCCGCCGCCAGAGAUGCGUUAAUGAUCCUUCCGCAGGUUCACCUACGGAAA